UCUGACGAGUGUCUCGCGGCCUCUGCCCGACGGCACCCUGGCGCACUUCCCCAGCGCCAGGUGGCCGCUCGGACAGGGACCACGAAACAUUCGCUGCCACAA
This is a regulatory RNA element of Rhodococcus rhodnii LMG 5362, 102 nucleotides long. It matches the Rfam family "mraW RNA". The record is from Rfam. NCBI's taxonomy places the organism in Bacteria, Bacillati, Actinomycetota, Actinomycetes, Mycobacteriales, Nocardiaceae.